Molecule: transfer RNA, 73 nt
Filed under: Methanobacteriota archaeon
Lineage: Archaea; Methanobacteriati; Methanobacteriota
Also listed under: 1 other name
Description: Euryarchaeota archaeon tRNA-Asp
Rfam family: tRNA
About the family: Transfer RNA (tRNA) molecules are approximately 80 nucleotides in length. Their secondary structure includes four short double-helical elements and three loops (D, anti-codon, and T loops). Further hydrogen bonds mediate the characteristic L-shaped molecular structure. tRNAs have two regions of fundamental functional importance: the anti-codon, which is responsible for specific mRNA codon recognition, and the 3' end, to which the tRNAs corresponding amino acid is attached (by aminoacyl-tRNA synthetases). tRNAs cope with the degeneracy of the genetic code in two manners: having more than one tRNA (with a specific anti-codon) for a particular amino acid; and 'wobble' base-pairing, i.e. permitting non-standard base-pairing at the 3rd anti-codon position.
Source: RNAcentral
GCCCCGGUGGUCUAGCGGUCUAUGAUCUCGGUCUGUCGAGCCGUGGACGUGGGUUCGAAUCCCACCCGGGGCG